RNAcentral lists this transfer RNA (72 nucleotides) under Acanthoscelides obtectus. It matches the Rfam family "tRNA". From Rfam's summary of the family: Transfer RNA (tRNA) molecules are approximately 80 nucleotides in length. Their secondary structure includes four short double-helical elements and three loops (D, anti-codon, and T loops). The record is from Rfam by way of RNAcentral. Lineage: Eukaryota; Metazoa; Arthropoda; Insecta; Coleoptera; Chrysomelidae.
GCCUCUGUAGCUCAGUGACAGAGCGCUGGUCUUGUAAGCCAGGGAACGUGGGUUCAAUCCUCACAGGAGGCA